GAAAUAAGUUAUCACAAAUUGAAGCUGCUAACUUACAAUUUAAGCGGUGAAAUUCCGUUUUUAUUUCU
RNAcentral lists this transfer RNA (68 nucleotides) under Speleketor irwini. RNAcentral's name for it is "tRNA-Ser". The record is from RNAcentral. Lineage: Eukaryota; Metazoa; Arthropoda; Insecta; Psocodea; Prionoglarididae.